RNAcentral lists this long non-coding RNA (607 nucleotides) under Homo sapiens (human). RNAcentral's name for it is "non-protein coding lnc-SLC6A9-2:12". Lineage: Eukaryota; Metazoa; Chordata; Mammalia; Primates; Hominidae. The record is from RNAcentral.
AGAGCCCCGCCUGUCCUCGGCCUACCGCGGCGAGCAGGCAUUCCGGGUCAGACCGGCGCGGGGCGCUGCGGCCCAACUCCUUAGUAGGACGACGUGACUCGAGGGGCCGGAGGACGGAGGUGGGAGCCCGGGCUAGAGGGUGGAGGCUGGGGAGGUUGCCUGGUCACUCUGGCGCUCCGCUGCCGGGGGCAUCCUCCGGCCCAGCAAAGGUGCAGCCUGGGAAGAAGGCGUCAGCACCACCCAGAGAAGAGGAGAGGGGACUUGGCACGCCUCAGGAAGGAAAAAAGGAAGGCUCUCGGGACCACCCAAUAAGCAACCGGGAAACCACAUACCAUGGACAGUGCUCGGGGAAUUUCGGCUCCUCCUCAUCCCUGGAGGUUCCAGGGAUCUGGCAGAGAAAGAAGCCCAGUCUCACAGCAAUGACUCCUGAACAUCCUUUGCAAACACUAUUUAGGACAGAUGGACUGAAGUAGGCCCUGGGGAGAGUUGGGGGCAUUUCCGGAGGGAACAUCCCAAAACUCAGCAGAGGAGGAGAGGGAGCUUUUGUUGGUCACCUGGAACCACUACCAAUCCAUGUUCAUGUCAAAUUAAAUGAUCACUUUGAAGU